RNAcentral lists this ribosomal RNA (2313 nucleotides) under Planctomycetota bacterium. RNAcentral's name for it is "partial 23S ribosomal RNA". It matches the Rfam family "Bacterial large subunit ribosomal RNA", at positions 1 to 2386 of the family's 2925-position model. Lineage: Bacteria; Pseudomonadati; Planctomycetota. The record is from RNAcentral.
GAUCAAGUUACCAAGGGCAUACGGUGGAUGUCUUGGCGUUGAGAGGCGAUGAAGGACGUGGGAACCUGCGAAAUGCCCAGGGGAGCUGGUAACCGAGCAUCGAUCCUGGGAUCUCCGAAUGGGGAAACCCGGCCCCGACUUGUCGGGGUCACCUGUGUCUGAAUGCAUAGGGCACAGGGGCGAACCUGGCGAACUGAAACAUCUCAGUAACCAGAGGAAAAGAAAGCAAACGCGAUUCCGUCAGUAGCGGCGAGCGAAAGCGGAACAGCCCAAACCGGGCUUCGGCCCGGGGUUGCGGGCACCAAUAUGGUUCUUCCAAUUUGUUUGUGAAUCGUCUGGAAAGGCGGUACCAAAGAAGGUGACAGUCCUGUAGCAGAUGAUGCGGAAGGCCUAGGUGUUCCAGAGUAGCACGGAGCUCGUGAAACUCCGUGUGAAACUGGGGGGUCCACCCUCCAAGGCUAAAUACUACUCAACGACCGAUAGUGAAUCAGUAAGGCGACUGAAUGAUGAAAAGCACCCCGAUAAGGGGAGUGAAAAGUACCUGAAACCGUGUGCCUACAAGCUGUGGGAGUCCCGAUUCCAUCGGGAUGACCGCGUGCCUUUUGCAUAAUGAGCCGACGAGUUGCUCUCUGUGGCAAGGUUAAGCUGUAUCCCAGCGGAGCCGAAGGGAAACCGAGUCUUAAAUGGGCGUGUAGUCGCAGGGGGCAGACGCGAAACCGAGUGAUCUACCCAUGGGCAGGUUGAAGAGGGAGUAAUGCCCCUUGGAGGACCGAACGCACCAACGUUGAAAAGUUGGGCGAUGACCUGUGGGGAGGAGUGAAAGUCUAAUCAUACUCGGAGAUAUCUCGUUCUCCUCGAAAUAGCUUUAGGGCUAGCCUCACGUUACACCGCGCGGGGGUAGAGCUACUGGAUGGGGCUGGGGGGCCACAAGCCUACUCACUUCAACCAAACUCCGAAUACCGUGCGGCCCUGUCGUGGGAGUCAGUCCACGGGAGAUAAUUUCCGUGGUCGAAAGGGAAACAGCCCAGACCGCCAGUUAAGGCCCCGAAACGGUCCUCAGUUUUGAAGGUAGUUGGAUUGCCGUGACAGCCAGGAUGUUGGCUUAGAAGCAGCCACCAUUUAAAGAGUGCGUAACAGCUCACUGGUCGAGGAAUCCAGCGCCGAAAAUGAUCGGGAAUCAAGGACCGUGCCGAAACUGCGGAUCCCGACUUGUCGGGAUGGUAGAGGAGCGUUCCUGUCAGCUGUGAAGCGGUGCCGUAAGGCCAUCGUGGAGCGGCAGGAAGUGAAUAUGUCGGCUUGAGUAACGAUAAACGGAGUGAGAAUCUCCGUCGCCGAAAGCCUAAGGUUUCCUGGGGAAGGUAAAUCCGCCCAGGGUUAGUCGGGACCUAAGGCGAGGCCGAAAGGCGUAGUCGAUGGACAGCAGGUCAACAUUCCUGCACUCCCAUGUGCGGUUGAUCCGGCGUGACGGAUCGUGAAGCUUGACGGGACAGUGAAGCGUCCAGGCCCUUGAGGCCGAUGUCGGGUGGAUCGGUUCCUAGAAAAACCGUCCGGUGACAAUCAUGGGACCCGUACCGCAAACUGACACAGGUAGGCUUGGCGAAAAGCCUCAGGCGCUCGAGAAAACGGUUGUGAAGGAACUAGGCAAAUUCACCCCGUACGUUCGCAAUAAGGGGGCCCUCCUGGAAACAGAGGGCGCAGAGAAUAGGCCCUGGCGACUGUUUAUCAAAAACACAGCACUGUGCUAACUCGCAAGAGGACGUAUACAGUGUGACACCUGCCCGGUGCCGGUACGUUAAGGAAGCAGGUUAUCCCGACUUGUCGGGAGAAGCUUGCGACCGAAGCGCCGGUAAACGGCGGCCGUAACUAUGACGGUCCUAAGGUAGCGAAGUUCCUUGUCGGGUAAGUUCCGACCUGCAUGAAUGGUGUAACGACUGGGGCACUGUCUCCACAACCGACUCGGUGAAAUAGUAGUGGCGGUGAAGAUGCCGCCUACCCGCGGCAAGACGGAAAGACCCCGUGGACCUUUACUGUAGGCUUGUAUUGGUCAUGGGCCUGUUCUGCGUAGGAUAGGUGGGAGGCGUUGAAGCCCCGAUUUCGGUCGGGGUGGAGCCAACCUUGAAAUACCACCCUUGGCACGUCUGUGGCCUAACCCAGAUUCCCGUGAAGCCGGGCUGGGGACCGUGCAUGCUGGGCAGUUUGACUGGGGCGGUCUCCUCCUAAAAGGUAACGGAGGAGCGCAAAGGUCGGCUCAGCAUGGUUGGAAACCAUGUGUUGAGUGUAAGAGCAUAAGCCGGCUUUACUGCGAGUCUGACU